AAAACGAAUUGAUACAUUAUCACAUUUUGCAACACUAAUGUGUAUCCAGCUGACAUUUUCUAGUUAAACUUCCAAUUAUAACUACAUAGUUAUAAUACAUUUUAUGCUAACUGAGACUUUGUGCCAGUAAGCACGAUCAUUUGUCUGUAUAUUUUCCUACAAAUCUUUUUGUGGGAGACUGAGGUUUUUAUAACCAACAUUUAUUUAUUUAUUUAUUUUUUUUUCACUUUCUUUGUAUAUUUCACUUUUAUUCUAUAGACCUUUCUAAAUAAAAGUUACGUUUUAAAUGUAAUAUAUUUAGGGCAGUGUUUCUCUUCU
Non-coding RNA from Pelobates cultripes (western spadefoot toad), 318 nucleotides. The record is from the annotation of a GenBank genome assembly. Lineage: Eukaryota; Metazoa; Chordata; Amphibia; Anura; Pelobatidae.